GAUGAACGCUGGCGGCGUGCCUAAUACAUGCCAGUCGAGCGAACGGACGAGAAGCUUGCUUCUCUGAUGUUAGCGGCGGACGGGUGAGUAACACGUGGAUAACCUACCUAUAAGACUGGGAUAACUUCGGGAAACCGGAGCUAAUACCGGAUGAUAUUUUGAACCGCAUGGUUCAAAAGUGAAAGACGGUCUUGCUGUCACUUAUAGAUGGAUCCGCGCUGCAUUAGCUAGUUGGUAAGGUAAUGGCUUACCAAGGCAACGAUGCAUAGCCGACCUGAGAGGGUGAUCGGCCACACUGGAACUGAGACACGGUCCAGACUCCUACGGGAGGCAGCAGUAGGGAAUCUUCCGCAAUGGGCGAAAGCCUGACGGAGCAACGCCGCGUGAGUGAUGAAGGUCUUCGGAUCGUAAAACUCUGUUAUUAGGGAAGAACAUAUGUGUAAGUAACUGUGCACAUCUUGACGGUACCUAAUCAGAAAGCCAUGGCUAACUACGUG
Molecule: ribosomal RNA, 497 nt
Filed under: uncultured bacterium
Lineage: Bacteria
Description: partial 16S ribosomal RNA
Rfam family: Bacterial small subunit ribosomal RNA
Source: RNAcentral